Molecule: ribosomal RNA, 404 nt
Filed under: uncultured bacterium
Lineage: Bacteria
Description: bacterial SSU rRNA
Rfam family: Bacterial small subunit ribosomal RNA
Source: RNAcentral
AACGAACGCUGGCGGCGUGCCUAACACAUGCAAGUCGUGCGAGAAAGUUCCUUCGGGAGCGAGUAAAGCGGCGCACGGGUGAGUAACACGUAGGUAACCUGCCCCCCAGUCUGGAACAACUAGAGGAAACUCUAGCUAAUGCCGGAUGAGACCACGAUCCCUUCGGGGGUUGCGGCCAAAGAUGGCCUCUACUUGUAAGCUAUCGCUGAGGGAUGGGCCUGCGGGCCAUUAGCUUGUUGGUGAGGUAACGGCUCACCAAGGCUGUGAUGGCUAGCUGGUCUGAGAGGAUGACCAGCCACACUGGACUGAGACACGGCCCAGACUCCGUACGGGAGGCAGCGAGGGGGAAUAUUGCGCAAGUGGGACGAAAGACCUGACGCAGCGACGCCGCGUGGGUGAUGGAA